UGGGGAAUAUUGGACAAUGGGCGCAAGCCUGAUCCAGCCAUGCCGCGUGUGUGAAGAAGGCCUUUGGGUUGUAAAGCACUUUAAGCGAGGAGGAGGCUACUUGGAUUAAUACUCUAGGAUAGUGGACGUUACUCGCAGAAUAAGCACCGGCUAACUCUGUGCCAGCAGCCGCGGUAAUACAGAGGGUGCGAGCGUUAAUCGGAUUUACUGGGCGUAAAGCGUGCGUAGGCGGCUUCUUAAGUCGGAUGUGAAAUCCCUGAGCUUAACUUAGGAAUUGCAUUCGAUACUGGGAAGCUAGAGUAUGGGAGAGGAUGGUAGAAUUCCAGGUGUAGCGGUGAAAUGCGUAGAGAUCUGGAGGAAUACCGAUGGCGAAGGCAGCCAUCUGGCCUAAUACUGACGCUGAGGUACGAAAGCAUGGGGAGCAAACAGG
Molecule: ribosomal RNA, 430 nt
Filed under: bacterium
Lineage: Bacteria
Also listed under: 1 other name
Description: partial 16S ribosomal RNA
Rfam family: Bacterial small subunit ribosomal RNA
Source: RNAcentral